CGGAGAGUUUGAUCCUGGCUCAGGAUGAACGCUGGCGGCGUGCCUAAUACAUGCAAGUCGAACGCUUUGUGGUUCAACUGAUUUGAAGAGCUUGCUCAGAUAUGACGAUGGACAUUGCAAAGAGUGGCGAACGGGUGAGUAACACGUGGGAAACCUACCUCUUAGCAGGGGAUAACAUUUGGAAACAGAUGCUAAUACCGUAUAACAAUAGCAACCGCAUGGUUGCUACUUAAAAGAUGGUUCUGCUAUCACUAAGAGAUGGUCCCGCGGUGCAUUAGUUAGUUGGUGAGGUAAUGGCUCACCAAGACGAUGAUGCAUAGCCGAGUUGAGAGACUGAUCGGCCACAAUGGGACUGAGACACGGCCCAUACUCCUACGGGAGGCAGCAGUAGGGAAUCUUCCACAAUGGGCGAAAGCCUGAUGGAGCAACGCCGCGUGUGUGAUGAAGGGUUUCGGCUCGUAAAACACUGUUGUAAGAGAAGAAUGACAUUGAGAGUAACUGUUCAAUGUGUGACGGUAUCUUACCAGAAAGGAACGGCUAAAUACGUGCCAGCAGCCGCGGUAAUACGUAUGUUCCAAGCGUUAUCCGGAUUUAUUGGGCGUAAAGCGAGCGCAGACGGUUAUUUAAGCCUGAAGUGAAAGCCCUCAGCUCAACUGAGGAAUUGCUUUGGAAACUGGAUGACUUGAGUGCAGUAGAGGAAAGUGGAACUCCAUGUGUAGCGGUGAAAUGCGUAGAUAUAUGGAAGAACACCAGUGGCGAAGGCGGCUUUCUGGACUGUAACUGACGUUGAGGCUCGAAAGUGUGGGUAGCAAACAGGAUUAGAUACCCUGGUAGUCCACACCGUAAACGAUGAGUGCU
This 858-nucleotide ribosomal RNA is filed under the name uncultured bacterium. Its description in RNAcentral is "bacterial SSU rRNA". It matches the Rfam family "Bacterial small subunit ribosomal RNA", at positions 1 to 817 of the family's 1533-position model. The record is from RNAcentral.